GAUGAACGCUGGCGGCGUGCCUAAUACAUGCAAGUCGAGCGAACGGACGAGAAGCUUGCUUCUCUGAUGUUAGCGGCGGACGGGUGAGUAACACGUGGAUAACCUACCUAUAAGACUGGGAUAACUUCGGGAAACCGGAGCUAAUACCGGAUAAUAUUUUGAACCGCAUGGUUAAAAAGUGAAAGACGGUCUUGCUGUCACUUAUAGAUGGAUCCGCGCUGCAUUAGCUAGUUGGUAAGGUAACGGCUUACCAAGGCAACGAUGCAUAGCCGACCUGAGAGGGUGAUCGGCCACACUGGAACUGAGACACGGUCCAGACUCCUAAGGGAGGCAGCAGUAGGGAAUCUUCCGCAAUGGGCGAAAGCCUGACGGAGCAACGCAGCGUGAGUGAUGAAAGUCUUCGGAUCGUAAAACUCUGUUAUUAGGGAAGAACAUAUGUGUAAGUAACUGUGCACAUCUUGACGGUACCUAAUCAGAAAGCCACGGCUAACUACGUG
This 497-nucleotide ribosomal RNA is filed under the name uncultured bacterium. RNAcentral describes it as "partial 16S ribosomal RNA". It matches the Rfam family "Bacterial small subunit ribosomal RNA", at positions 28 to 507 of the family's 1533-position model. The record is from RNAcentral.